GAUGAACGCUGGCGGCGUGCCUAAUACAUGCAAGUCGAGCGAACAGACGAGGAGCUUGCUCCUCUGACGUUAGCGGCGGACGGGUGAGUAACACGUGGAUAACCUACCUAUAAGACUGGGAUAACUUCGGGAAACCGGAGCUAAUACCGGAUAAUAUAUUGAACCGCAUGGUUCAAUAGUGAAAGACGGUUUUGCUGUCACUUAUAGAUGGAUCCGCGCCGCAUUAGCUAGUUGGUAAGGUAACGGCUUACCAAGGCAACGGUGCGUAGCCGACCGGAGGGGGUAAUCGGCCACCUUGGAAUUGGGACACGGUCCUGACUCCUACGGGAGGCAGAAGUAGGGAAUCUUCCGCAAUGGGCGAAAUCUUGACGGAGCAACGCAGCGUGAGUGAUAAAGGUCUUCGGAUCGAAAAACUCUGUUAUUGGGGAAGAACAAAUGUGUAGGUAACUAUGCACGUCUUGACGGUACCUAAUCAGAAAGCCACGGCUAACUACGUG
This 497-nucleotide ribosomal RNA is filed under the name uncultured bacterium. RNAcentral describes it as "partial 16S ribosomal RNA". It matches the Rfam family "Bacterial small subunit ribosomal RNA", at positions 28 to 507 of the family's 1533-position model. The record is from RNAcentral.